AAUGCAUUUAACAAAGAGUUUAUAGAGCAUUAAUUAUACGCUAGACAAUUGGUUAAAAUAGAUAUACAUUGUUAAAAAGCAGAAGCCUUAUUCUGGGGAUGUUUGGGGACGGAGAUUGGACCACAAACAACACUCACACGCUGAAGUUCAUACUUGAAAUUCCCUAUGCUUGGUUUUCACAUGCAUCGCAUGUAGCAUGCAAAACUCAGGGAAACACAGAUAUCCAUUUUAGCACACUGCCAUUGGUUAACUGCACAGUUAUCAGUAAGCAAUAUGAUGGUGUGAAUGUGUGCUCUUAAUAAUUGCCACCAUUUCCCAUGGAGUGAGCAUGUAUUUAUUUACUACAUUAUUACUGAAAAAAAAGUCUGUGACUUUCUGGUAACUAUGUAAUUAACUUGUACCUCACUAUGUUAUUGUAGCUUAAACUGCAUCUGGUGACUUCUAAAGAGUUGUUAGGAACAAUGCAGACCAUGCUUUGUGGUUCUGUCCAAGAGAAUGCUUAUGUGUUGAGCAUAUUUGUAGUUGAUUAUUUUUGAGCCAACUGUUGACUGCACAGCCUUCAGCACUCAAUGGGCUGUAAUAAAUACUAGGAAACGAGUGAAUGAAGGAAUGAAUGGGUAGCUGAAGGAAAAUAAGCUGACUUAAACUGCUACAAUUUAUUGAGUGCUUAUUUGCAUGCCAGAAACACUUAAUACAAGUAGAAAGAAAAUAUGAAUACAAACAUAAAAAGCCAGAAUCAUGGAAAAUAGGGAUGCUGAGAAGAUAGAAAAACAGAGGAUAAGUUGGGAAUGAUGCAGAUGUAACCACCUGACAGGUUCUUCUUGCCCAUUGCACAGACAAACCAAUUCACUGAGACUUGGUGGUUGCAGUAGAGAAAGAGUUUAAUUAAUGCAAGGCUGGGCAAGUGGAAGGACUGGAGUUAUUACUCAA
This 930-nucleotide long non-coding RNA is filed under the name Homo sapiens (human). RNAcentral's name for it is "non-protein coding lnc-FAM84B-14:2". The record is from RNAcentral. Lineage: Eukaryota; Metazoa; Chordata; Mammalia; Primates; Hominidae.